UGUAUUUACAACAGUGUGGUAGUAAUUAGUUGACGACACAAUUGAGUCGCGAAGAGAAGUUGUGAUCAGAGGACUCACACUCUACCUUGGUGAAUACACUGGAGAGUUAAUGAAGGACUACCAGGUUAUUAAUGACGACGAUGCUGCGACCAUCCAAGAAGCUAUUACUACAUUUGCCCUCGGCAUCUUUGUUGUCAGCAAAGCCAGGGAUGGUCUCCCCAAGCAAACUGGAAUAGCCAUCGAGGGACCUUUUUGGUAUCCCAGAUGUGGCACAUGCUUGCACCUAUCUGAUGGGCCUUAUCUAUGCCUUGGAACUGAGGUACCCUAAUAAACUGAAAUACACGUUUGAGGUCUUUUAGAAGAUCUUCCUAGAGCUAGAGAAUGCAAACCAAAAACUGUCCUCCAAAGUCCAUGAUCUCAAGGUCUGUUUGCAAGCUUAAAAUCUAUACAGAUGGUGUAUACAGUAGAAUGUAUUUUGAUUUGUUUGUAAUAGAAUGUAUUUUGAUUUGUUUUUUUGGCUUUUGUCAAAUAAAUUUAUUUAUUUGAGCUAAAUGACUUCCAAGUCUUGUUUUGGGUUAAGAUGCAUAAUUAUAUCUGAGAUUGUUUGACUCAUGUGGGUUGCUAAGUUUCCAGUGUUGGGCUGCAACCAAUUAAUUAAUCUGUCGAUAGUCUUGAUAAAUUGAUUUGUGGAUUCGUCCAUACAAUGUAAGGAAAUGGUGAAAAAUCGAUCACUCUUUCCCAAAGCCCAAGCUGCAACCUAAAAUGUCUUGUUUUGUCCUGAUCACCAGUUCUCAAUUUAAAACAUUCACAUCAGAGAAUCUGGGAUUCUUCUUCUUAAAAAAAAUGACUCAAAGAAAAUUCUAAUUACUGACAAAUUAUUUAGUUGUUAGCAACUAAUUGAUCAAUCAACUAAUCGUUGCAGCUCCUGUCUUUUUAUCAGUAUGGUCUAUUUAUAUGGUCUAUACUUAAGUUUUUAAGUUUAGCUUUAAC
Alosa alosa (allis shad) is the source of this 990-nucleotide long non-coding RNA. RefSeq lists it as uncharacterized. The transcript is spliced from 3 exons. The record is from RefSeq and is a predicted model, not a curated record. NCBI's taxonomy places the organism in Eukaryota, Metazoa, Chordata, Actinopteri, Clupeiformes, Clupeidae.